GACGAUCGCUGGCGGCGUGCCUAAUACAUGCAAGUAGAACGCUGAAGAGAGGAGCUUGCUCUUCUUGGAUGAGUUGCGAACGGGUGAGUAACGCGUAGGUAACCUGCCUUGUAGCGGGGGAUAACUAUUGGAAACGAUAGCUAAUACCGCAUAACAAUGGAUGACACAUGUCAUUUAUUUGAAAGGGGCAAUUGCUCCACUACAAGAUGGACCUGCGUUGUAUUAGCUAGUAGGUGAGGUAAUGGCUCACCUAGGCGACGAUACAUAGCCGACCUGAGAGGGUGAUCGGCCACACUGGGACUGAGACACGGCCCAGACUCCUACGGGAGGCAGCAGUAGGGAAUCUUCGGCAAUGGGGGCAACCCUGACCGAGCAACGCCGCGUGAGUGAAGAAGGUUUUCGGAUCGUAAAGCUCUGUUGUAAGUCAAGAACGGGUGUGAGAGUGGAAAGUUCACACUGUGACGGUAGCUUACCAGAAAGGGACGGCUAACUACGUGCCAGCAAGCGCGGUAAUACGUAGGUCCCGAGCGUUGUCCGGAUUUAUUGGGCGUAAAGCGAGCGCGGCGGUUUGAUAAGUCUGAAGUUAAGGCUGUGGCUCAACCAUAGUUCGCUUUGGAAACUGUCAAACUUGAGUGCAGAAGGGGAGAGUGGAAUUCCAUGUGUAGCGGUGAAAUGCGUAGAUAUAUGGAGGAACACCGGUGGCGAAAGCGGCUCUCUGGUCUGUAACUGACGCUGAGGCUCGAAAGCGUGGGGAGCGAACAGGAUUAGAUACCCUGGUAGUCCACGCCGUAAACGAUGAGUGCUAGGUGUUGGAUCCUUUCCGGGAUUCAGUGCCGCAGCUAACGCAUUAAGCACUCCGCCUGGGGAGUACGACCGCAAGGUUGAAACUCAAAGGAAUUGACGGGGGCCCGCACAAGCGGUGGAGCAUGUGGUUUAAUUCGAAGCAACGCGAAGAACCUUACCAGGUCUUGACAUCCCGAUGCUAUUUCUAGAGAUAGAAAGUUACUUCGGUACAUCGGUGACAGGUGGUGCAUGGUUGUCGUCAGCUCGUGUCGUGAGAUGUUGGGUUAAGUCCCGCAACGAGCGCAACCCCUAUUGUUAGUUGCCAUCAUUCAGUUGGGCACUCUAGCGAGACUGCCGGUAAUAAACCGGAGGAAGGUGGGGAUGACGUCAAAUCAUCAUGCCCCUUAUGACCUGGGCUACACACGUGCUACAAUGGUUGGUACAACGAGUUGCGAGUCGGUGACGGCGAGCUAAUCUCUUAAAGCCAAUCUCAGUUCGGAUUGUAGGCUGCAACUCGCCUACAUGAAGUCGGAAUCGCUAGUAAUCGCGGAUCAGCACGCCGCGGUGAAUACGUUCCCGGGCCU
RNAcentral lists this ribosomal RNA (1367 nucleotides) under uncultured bacterium. RNAcentral's name for it is "bacterial SSU rRNA". It matches the Rfam family "Bacterial small subunit ribosomal RNA", at positions 28 to 1381 of the family's 1533-position model. The record is from RNAcentral.